This 342-nucleotide unclassified non-coding RNA is filed under the name soil metagenome. Its description in RNAcentral is "partial contains 5.8S ribosomal RNA, internal transcribed spacer 2, and large subunit ribosomal RNA". The stretch from base 1 to 120 matches the Rfam family "5.8S ribosomal RNA", at positions 35 to 154 of the family's 154-position model. The record is from RNAcentral.
GAUGAAGAACGCAGCGAAAUGCGAUAAGUAAUGUGAAUUGCAGAAUUCAGUGAAUCAUCGAAUCUUUGAACGCACAUUGCGCCCGCCAGCAUUCUGGCGGGCAUGCCUGUUCGAGCGUCAUUUCAACCCUCGAGCCCCCCCGGGGGCCUCGGUGUUGGGGGACGGCACACCAGCCGCCCCCGAAAUGCAGUGGCGACCCCGCCGCAGCCUCCCCUGCGUAGUAGCACACACCUCGCACCGGAGCGCGGAGGCGGUCACGCCGUAAAACGCCCAAUUUCUUAGAGUUGACCUCGGAUCAGGUAGGAAUACCCGCUGAACUUAAGCAUAUCAAUAAGCGGAGGA